RNAcentral lists this ribosomal RNA (462 nucleotides) under uncultured bacterium. RNAcentral's name for it is "bacterial SSU rRNA". It matches the Rfam family "Bacterial small subunit ribosomal RNA", at positions 43 to 524 of the family's 1533-position model. The record is from RNAcentral.
CAGGCCUAACACAUGCAAGUCGAGCGGUAAGGCCUUUCGGGGUACACGAGCGGCGAACGGGUGAGUAACACGUGGGUGAUCUGCCCUGCACUCUGGGAUAAGCUUGGGAAACUGGGUCUAAUACCGGAUAUGACCACAGCAUGCAUGUGUUGUGGUGGAAAGAUUUAUCGGUGCAGGAUGGGCCCGCGGCCUAUCAGCUUGUUGGUGGGGUAAUGGCCUACCAAGGCGACGACGGGUAGCCGACCUGAGAGGGUGACCGGCCACACUGGGACUGAGACACGGCCCAGACUCUACGGGAGGCAGCAGUGGGGAAUAUUGCACAAUGGGCGGAAGCCUGAUGCAGCGACGCUGCGUGAGGGAUGAAGGCUUCGGGUUGUAAACCUCUUUCAGCAGGGACGAAGCGUGAGUGACGGUACCUGCAGAAGAAGCACCGGCUAACUACGUGCCAGCAGCCGCGGUAAU